Molecule: ribosomal RNA, 497 nt
Filed under: uncultured bacterium
Lineage: Bacteria
Description: partial 16S ribosomal RNA
Rfam family: Bacterial small subunit ribosomal RNA
Source: RNAcentral
GAUGAACGCUGGCGGCGUGCCUAAUACAUGCAAGUCGAGCGAACGGACGAGACGCUUGCUUUUCUGAUGUUAGCGGCGGACGGGUGAGUAACACGUGGAUAACCUACCUAUAAGACUGGGAUAACUUCGGGAAACCGGAGCUAAUACCGGGUAAUAUUUUGAACCGCAUGGUUCAAAAGUGAAAGACGGUCUUGCUGUCACUUAUAGCUGGAUCCGCGCUGCAUUAGCUAGUUGGUAAGGUAACGGCUUACCAAGGCAACGAUGCAUAGCCGACCUGAGAGGGGGAUCGGCCACACUAGAACUUAGACACGGUCCAGACUCCUACGGGAGGCAGCAGUAGGGAAUCUUCCGCAAUGGGCGAAAGCCUGACGGAGCAACGCCGCGUGAGUGAUGAAGGUCUUCGGAUCGUAAAACUCUGUUAUUAGGGAAGAACAUAUGUGUAAGUAACUGUGCACAUCUUGACGGUACCUAAUCAGAAAGCCACGGCUAACUACGUG